Long non-coding RNA from Neltuma alba, 220 nucleotides. RefSeq lists it as uncharacterized. NCBI's taxonomy places the organism in Eukaryota, Viridiplantae, Streptophyta, Magnoliopsida, Fabales, Fabaceae. The record is from RefSeq and is a predicted model, not a curated record. The transcript is spliced from 2 exons.
CUAUUAAACAGUCAAAAGAGGUCCCGAAUAAUUACAGUAAGGGAAAAAAAACAAAAUUAAGCGGUAGGCAAACAGUGCGAAUUAAGUAGGAAAAUUAAUGUCAGCUAUGAGGUCCAUCGCUUUAGCAGUAUGUUCAACGAUGGCAUCGGUGGCAGCGAUAAUUUCUUCCGGUCUGAAAUCUUCUCUAGCAAACUAUCGCUUGUUCCGAGCCUCCCAAAAC